GUUAAAGUGCUCUUGAUGAAAGAUCGUGAAACCAACAAAUCAAGAGGAUUUGCCUUUGUCACCUUUGAAAGUCCAGCAGAUGCUAAGGAUGCAGCCAGAGACAUGAAUGGAAAGGUGAGAUUGCACAAUGAAUACCAUGUAUCCUAGUGCAUAAUAUAGCAUGUGCAAUCCCAACUCUGGUUCAUGGAAGCUCUUGAAUUAUUUUGGUUUUGAAUAUAUACCUCUCCAAGAUCUUCUCACCAUAGCCAAUUUGUAGUACUCUUUUGAAGUAUAUCAUGAGGUGUUUUUUUUUUUUUUUUUUUUGUGGUGCUAGGCAUGCCAAACAAGUGCUCUACCACUGAGCGACAUGCUCAACUGAAGCAUAUUAUGAAAUUCCAGGGUCAAAUGUUGUAGACAAAGUUAUAGAUUGUACCCUUUCUUCCCCCUUGGAUUGGACUUAUGCAUGCUAGUCAAGUGCUCCACCUUGAGUUACAUCCCCAACCAUGGAUUGUGCUCUUAAGUGUUUCUCAGUUCAGAGUAGCAUGUAAUGUUACAGAUAAGCAUUGUAUUUUAUCUUGGGAUCCCUAAACCAUAGCUUGAUGGCUUGGCCUUUAGCAUUGUUUAUUACUUUUGCUUUUUUUUUUUUUUAGGUGGGGGGUACUGGGGAUUGAACCCAGGGGGUGCUUUACCACUGAGCCAUAUCCCCAGUUCUUUGUAUAUUUUAUUUUGAGACUGGGUCUCACUAAGUUGCUAGGGCCUCCGUAAAUUGCUGAGGCUGGCUUUGAACUCAAUCCUCUUGCCUCAGCCUCCUGAGCUGCUAGGAUUACAGACAUGUGACACGAUUCCUGGUUCCUUUUUAUUUUUUGAUACAAGGUCUCACCAAGUUGCUGAGGCUGGCCUCAGCUUGCUAUCCUGCUUCAGUUUCCUGAGUUAACCUGGAGUUGCUGGGAUUAUAGGCAUGUGCCAUUGUACCUAAUCUGGUUAUUAGUUUUGAAAAUGAGCUGAUAUACCUACCUAGCAUUGCUUUAAAUUUUACCAAGUGCACUGAGUUUACUUUAUGCUUUGUAUUCUCAGUGACUGGGUAGACAUUUUAAGUAAGUGGAAAAGUCAUUCUUAGAAUUACUACUUCUAGGAUUUUACUUAGACUAAUUGAUGAACAAAAUUAACUGUAUUUUGGUGUCAAUAGUAUAUAGUGGACCUGUAAGUUCUUUUAAAAUUAUGAUGCAAUUUAACCGUUUUGAUUUUUGUUUAAAGUCCUUAGAUGGAAAAGCCAUCAAGGUGGAACAAGCUACCAAACCAUCAUUUGAAAGUGGUAGACGUGGCCCACCUCCACCUCCAAGAAGCAGAGGCCCUCCCAGAGGUCUUAGAGGAGGAAGAGGAGGAAGUGGAGGAACUAGGGGACCUCCCUCUCGUGGAGGGCACAUGGGUAAUAAUUUAGGUGGAUCUUUGGCUUGGUGUAUAAGAACUGCAAAUCCACGACAGUGUAUACUUUAAGCCCUCGUUGAAAGGCUCUCGCCUUUGAAAUUAAGAAAGAAUAUAUGCUUACCUCUUGAAGUGAUAAUGACUCGAGGAAAACAUGGAAGGUGUCCUAAGUUAAAUGAAUGUUGAUUUAAAUUAUAGAUCACAUUAUUUCUUACCUUAUUACUUAAUGUGUAAGAAAAGUACUUAAAAAAUCUUUUUCAAGAUUCAGUUUGAUACAUUGAGCAUAUGAAAGCAAAACAAUGUGUGUUCUUUGAAAUAACUUUAGAGACUACCCUUCAUUUUCCUUAUUUUCCCAGUCUACAUGACUUCAUGCUUGAUAUUGUGCAAUUGAAAAUAUAAGUUAGACCCCUCAAAGAGAAAAGAUAAAGAGAAGGUAGUAUCAUCAAAUCAUAGAAUUCUUUGUUUUGUUUUGUUUUUUAAAUUCUUGUGUUAACAUAUUUUUUUCUCCUUUCUAAUGUAGAUGAUGGUGGUUAUUCCAUGCAUUUUAACAUGAGUUCUUCCAGGGGACCUCUUCCAGUAAAAAGAGGACCACCACCAAGAAGUGGGGGUCCUCCUCCUAAAAGAUCAGCUCCUUCAGGACCAGUUCGCAGCAGCAGUGGAAUGGGAGGAAGAGGUAAAUGUUGCAUGCAUGACAAUCUGUGCUGUCACCAUAGCACUAAGAAUUAAGAAGUAACUCUUAAAAAUGACCCUUAAGACUUGUUCAGGAAUUCCAGGUGAUCUAGUAACAUGAAGCUAAUGAGUACUCAAAAGAUGUGAAUAACAUUUCUUGAUCUGUGUACGUAUUAUGUUUAAGUCACUACUUUUCAUUGUCUGAAUAUAAUAAGUUCACAUUUUAUUUAACUUUUACCAGGCUACAUUUAAAAAAAUUAUUAUUUUUCCUUAAGCUCCUGUAUCACGUGGAAGAGAUAGUUAUGGAGGCCCACCUCGAAGGGAACCCCUGCCCUCUCGUAGAGAUGUUUAUUUGUCCCCAAGAGAUGAUGGAUAUUCUACUAAAGACAGGUAACACAAAAAAAUGCAGUUUUUUCAUUAAGGUUAAAGGAGAGCUCAUCAAAAGCAUAGACCAAAUUACUUUUGUUUCUAUAGCUAUUCAAGCAGAGAUUACCCAAGUUCUCGUGACACAAGAGAUUAUGCACCACCUCCAAGAGAUUAUACUUACCGUGAUUAUGGUCAUUCCAGUUCACGUGAUGACUAUCCAUCAAGAGGCUAUAGGUAAGUGAGUGCUUCCAUGGCUCAAGUAUAAUAUUUUAUUGUAAAAGUUGGUGCUCUGGGACUCAAAGGUUUUUCUCUUUAAUUUAGUGAUAGAGAUGGAUAUGGUCGUGAUCGUGAUUAUUCAGAUCAUCCAAGUGGAGGUUCCUACAGAGAUUCAUAUGAGAGUUAUGGUAAGAUACUGUUAAGAGUCUUGAGUUUCAGCAGCUUGAGUUUUUAGGUUCAUGAGCCAGUUUAAUAGGCUGCGUGGUGCUUGCUUUUAAAGGGACGUUUGCUUGCUUUUUUAAAGGGUUAACUAUCAGCUGGGCUUUUCCUAGUUUUGUGAGGGGCUUUUGUUCUUUCCUAAGUUUUUUUUUUUCUUUUGAGGCUGUUCGCUUGCUUUGGAGGGGAUUUUGCUUGCUUAAAUUGGCAGCCUUAUGUGUUUUCCCCCAACAGUGAAAAUACAAUUUAAAAAUUUUAUUAACAAGAUCAAAUGUUUACCAUUGCAAUAUGAAGGAAACUCUACAGUUCAAAAUUGCAACUUAUCACUGGAAAGUGGCUGAGUGUCUACUAUAAAAUAACAAGCUGGAAUAUCCUCUUGAAAUACACACCGUCUUCAGUCUUUUCAAACAAACAUUAAAAUCAAUCCAUUUCCAUAUCUCAGCAGAUGAGCAAAUCCUUGUUAUGGCCAGCAAUGGUAGAGUUUAAAACCUCCCAGUUGAGAAAGUAAACUUUUAAUACAAGAAUUCUGUAAAUUCAGAUUUAAAUGUUGUAUAUAUACAAUUUAUAGUGUUGCCAUAUUACCUGACCAUUGACCCUGCAGGUAACUCACGUAGUGCUCCACCUACACGAGGGCCCCCGCCAUCUUAUGGUGGAAGCAGUCGCUAUGAUGAUUACAGCAGCUCACGUGACGGAUAUGGUGGAAGUCGAGACAGUUACUCAAGCAGCCGAAGUGAUCUCUACUCAAGUGGUCGUGAUCGGGUUGGCAGACAAGAACGAGGGCUUCCCCCUUCUAUGGAAAGGGGGUACCCUCCUCCACGUGAUUCCUACAGCAGUUCAAGCCGCGGAGCACCAAGAGGUGGUGGCCGUGGAGGAAGCCGAUCUGAUAGAGGGGGAGGCAGAAGCAGAUACUAGAAACAAACAAAACUUUGGACCAAAAUUCCCCGUUCAAAGAAACAAACAAAAAGUGGAAACCAUUCUGUCAUAACUACCCAAGGACUACUAAAAGGAAAAAUUGUGUUACCUUUUUUAAAUUUCCUGUUAAGUUCCCCUUCAUAAUUUUUUAUGUUCUUGUGAGGGAAAAAAAGUAAAACAUGUUUAAUUUCAUUUGAUUUUGAGUUGCUUUCAACAAGCAAAUGUUAAGUGUGUAAGACUUGUUGUACUAGUGUUGUAAUUUUCCAAGUUAAAGUGUCCCUGAAGGCCACUUCCUAUCCAGUUUUACCCAGUAAAUGAGGCAAGCAAUUCUAAGAUCUUCCACAAACAUCUAGCCAUCUAGAUGUCCAUUGAUCUCCACUGAGAGAUGAAUCGUUCUGCCUAUACAAAAAAGCUAGCUAAUAGGGGGUGGUUGGGGUAUGCUACUCUUAGGAUUUCAGGGUGUCUUCCAACUGAAAUCUCAAUGUUCUCAGUAUACAAAACCUGAGAUCAGAUAUCUAUGUAAGGAAAGUACUAUUCACCCAGUAAAUCCCCCUUCCCCCCAAAAAAAACCAAAUGGAUAAUGCUGGCCAUAUUUUGCCUUUCUGACAUUUCCUUGGGAAUCCGCAAGAACCUCCCUUUCCCCCUCCCCCAAUAAGACCAUUUAAGUGUGUGUUAAACAACUACAGAAUACUAAAUAAAAAGUUUGGCCAAAACCAACCAUGAAGCUGCAAACGAUGCUUGCUCUUACUGUUUCAAAUUUUUGCAACUCUGUAGUGUCUCACUUUUAAAGGAACAGCUUGAUUGCAAAGGAGAAAAUAGAUAAGCAAUGAAGUUAUCUCCAACUUCCUAAAGGCUUAUGACUUCUAAAAAGUGAAUCUAUCAGCAUUCCACAUCAGAUUUAAAGCACCAAAUGCCUGUGAAACAGCAAAGAUGGUAAGCAAAGCAAACUAGUUUUUCCGUCUAAGUCGAAAUUGAACACUUACCUUCCUCAUAGUACAGUGAAACAUACUGUACCUCAUGGCAAUGGAAAUGUGCCUUCUAGAUUAAAAAAAAAAACCUUUUGGAAAAGCAAAUGUUCAAUAGCAUAUUAGAAGUCCUCCAAAUUCAACACUUGGAUUUUUUUUUUUAAAGCAUGUGUGACACUUAAAGGCCUUAAUACAGCUGUUUACCAGUACCAAUCUGGGGCUUGGGAGGGGGUAUUUUUUAAAGUAUUUUUGAUGAAGACCUUUAAACAUGCUUCAUAUGUUUUUAACAUUUUUUUUUUUCAAAUUAGUCUUAGUCAAUAUAAGAAAUGGCUUAGGUUUGGGGUCCCCUCUCUUACCCCUGUAAGCCAUUGCAAACUUGACCUUUAGUUGGAUGCCUGACUUGUUUUUAGUUCUAUGAAACUACACUGUAUGGAGAAAAUCUAUUGCAAGUGGUCUUUAAAAAGCAAAACCUGAGGCAGCAUGACCCAGGUCCAGCCAUGAAGUUGAAAAAGAUGCUCUUGAAUAUAGUAAACUUGAAGACCUCCAACUAAAAAUCCUUAUACGCACUUAUUCCUUCAAAUAAAUGUUUUGUCCGUUCAACUUAUGGAUUUAACGUGGCAGUGCACCAUUGGAACAGAAUGAGAAUCCAUAAGCCAUGCAACUUAACCAUUUAAGCCAUUCCAGUCCAUCCCAAGCCAGUGAAUCUUCCACUACUUAAGAGAACUAGUAGAACAUGAAAUACAUUAAUCUGGAAGUCUGAACUUGCCUUUCUGGAAAGAGGGCAGUUAUAGGCAAGUUUUAAAGUUUCCUUAAGAGAGAUAACUAGUUUUCAUCUGUUUAAUUUUUGCAGGUUGAGGACUUAUGGUCAUUGUGGUCAUGGAGUGCUGAUUUAUUCACAAUAGAUAAAGCUGGCAGCAGGAGAAAUCAAAUGCUAAGGUAAGUUUUGAAAGCACUGGCCUUUCAAGGUUUAAAUAGUAUUUGUAGUUUUGCCACUGUCAAGCUGUGGUGUUGGCAAGUUUUUUUUUUUUUUUUUUUUCCUGAUCCACACUUCAUCUGCAAAAGGGGAUAUAAUAUACAACUCUUGGAAAUUAGGUUAGAUUAUUUAACGUGUGUUAUCUGGCACAUCCAUUUUUUUUAAAGAGAAUUUUAAUAUUUAUUUUUUAGUUUUUGGCGGACACAACAUCUUUGUUUGUAUGUGGUGCUGAGGAUCGAACCUGGGCCGCACGCAUGCCAGGCAAGCGCGCUACCGCUUGAGCCACAUCCCCAGCCCUGGCACAUCAAUUUUGAAUGUAGAGGGAGGUUAUAUAGGUAUAUUUCCAGUAAUAAUACUAUUAGUCAUGCAAUAUUCUUGGCUGUUUAAAACCAAUUGCAAAUAUCUUUUCAUAUUGCAAGAGUUCUCUUGACAGGAUCUGUGUAUACAGGUAAUACUUUGGUAUGUGAGCAGACUUUACAUGAAGUUUGGGCUUCAGUGAAUUUUCUCAGUGCUUGCUUAUUUGUAUAGCUAUAAUACAAAUUGACUAAAUGGAGAGUUAUUGAUAUCAAUUAUAAGAAAAAGUAUGUAUUUAGGAAUGAUGGGGGGUGUUGGGGUACUAUGCAGUAUAAAACAAAUGCUUUACCUUGUAACUUGAUCCCAUGCUUUUUUACAGAGUUGUUGAAGCAGAAGAAUGCUGAUUGUCGAUCAGUCACAGCAGUCGCAUAAGCAGUGCUCGUCAGAAUUGGUUUGGUGCAGGCAAUAGAUUUUUGUCUUCAAGGGUUCUUGUGGAUCUGAGGAAGGCAUUAGUGUUGGUUAACACUCUUAACUAGGGAGUGGUAGUUACUUAAAAUUGACCAAAUGG
Molecule: long non-coding RNA, 6580 nt
Filed under: Marmota monax (woodchuck)
Lineage: Eukaryota; Metazoa; Chordata; Mammalia; Rodentia; Sciuridae
Source: RNAcentral